Molecule: long non-coding RNA, 214 nt
Filed under: Mytilus galloprovincialis (Mediterranean mussel)
Lineage: Eukaryota; Metazoa; Mollusca; Bivalvia; Mytilida; Mytilidae
Source: RNAcentral
CCGGAAGUAACAUAUUUUGAACCAAAAGUAGAAAAUUAUCUCCCUUAUUUAUAUCUUUUUGUAUUGAAACCUUAUAUUUUUGGAAUCAGCGUACAAUAAGUUGUCAUUUGACGCUGAAAUUAAUAUUUUAAAACCAAAUUUUAAUAUUUUCAUAUCAAAAUAGAUCCUUACUGGUGGAAAGACCUUCAAUUGUUCUCUGAACAAUUGGUUUUUA